This 454-nucleotide ribosomal RNA is filed under the name uncultured bacterium. RNAcentral describes it as "bacterial SSU rRNA". It matches the Rfam family "Bacterial small subunit ribosomal RNA", at positions 28 to 478 of the family's 1533-position model. The record is from RNAcentral.
GAUGAACGCUGGCGGCGUGCCUAACACAUGCAAGUCGAACGGAGUCGUUUUGGAAAUCUCUUCGGAGAUGGAAUUCUCGACUUAGUGGCGGACGGGUGAGUAACGCGUGAGCAAUCUGCCUUUAAGAGGGGGAUAACAGUCGGAAACGGCUGCUAAUACCGCAUAAAGCAUUAAAUUCGCAUGUUUUUGAUGCCAAAGGAGCAAUCCGCUUUUAGAUGAGCUCGCGUCUGAUUAGCUAGUUGGCGGGGUAACGGCCCACCAAGGCGACGAUCAGUAGCCGGACUGAGAGGUUGAACGGCCACAUUGGGACUGAGACACGGCCCAGACUCCUACGGGAGGCAGCAGUGGGGAAUAUUGCGCAAUGGGGGAAACCCUGACGCAGCAACGCCGCGUGAUUGAAGAAGGCCUUCGGGUUGUAAAGAUCUUUAAUCAGGGACGAAACAAAUGACGGUAC